RNAcentral lists this unclassified non-coding RNA (4821 nucleotides) under Hevea brasiliensis (rubber tree). Lineage: Eukaryota; Viridiplantae; Streptophyta; Magnoliopsida; Malpighiales; Euphorbiaceae. The record is from RNAcentral.
GCUUUAUCUCGCUUCGGUGGGAAAGCAAUGUUGAGUCUGGGAACGGUGAGGCCAGUAGUGGUCUCUCUGAAACCCCUUCUACCCUCUUUCUUCCCUCCGAAAUCCCUCCUUUUCUCAGCAAUCCCCAAAUGUGUCUCUCUCCUGUCUUCCUCUGCAUCGCGGGCCCAUUCUUUUACCUCACAGGCUUCAAAUCUGCUCAAUAAUGCCAGUGUUGAGCCCUAUUAUCUCUCUUGCUGUAUGCCCGAUAGGCGUCUCAGAGUAGCUGUUCUUCUCAGCGGUGGCGUCGAUAGUAGCGUCGCUCUCCACCUCUUGCAUGCCGCUGGCCACUGGUGCACCGCCUUCUACCUCAAAAUCUGGUUCCAAGUGCUCUCUCUCUCUAUAUUUCUGCUAUCUUUGAAAUUCUAGCCCUUUGCCUAAGAAACAGCCUAGUAAUAAGAUAAUAGUUCAUAAAGCCCGAAAGCAGAUGCUGACCCUAACAAAUAGUCGAGUAUCUGUUUUCGUUCUUAAACGCCAUUUUUUAAGCCAAAGGGGAUAUGGCAGGGGAAUUUUGCAAACAAAAUCACACAGCGGUAAAAUGAAAGUAAGCCCGGCCAUGGCCCAUGAUACGCAAAGUAAAAGUUUUGAGAAUUUGAAUAAGUGCCCCUAUUGUUUUGUAGGGCAAAUUAGAUGUUUUUGUUUUUAUUUCAAUUCUUUUUAUAUACCAGAACGAUCGAGUUCUGAUAUGUUGUUUUUGUAGGAAGAUUUUGAGAACUUCUGGUCAGAAUGCCCAUGGGAAGAAGAUUUGGAGUAUGCCAAAGCUGUUUGUGAUCAGGUUGAUGUACCAUUGGAAGUCGUGCAUUUGACUGAUGAAUAUUGGAAAUAUGUGGUAUGUUAUGUUGCGAUUCUCCUUGUCCCAUCAACUUUUCUCGAUCAUGUCUUUCUAGACUCUGUAUAGCCAACCAAGAGUCUAUUAACAUCCACAGACUUGUUCUGGGUUGGGGCUGAUGACUAGUUAGCUAUGCUCUGUUCAAUAUGGAAUCUUUUAUGUUCUAUUAUGUGUUUCGUGUAGUUAUAAUUUUGUUCAUUACCUGCCUUCUUGUCGGGUAAUUGGAUGAGUUCACGUAGGUAUUCUCCAGUCAGAGAAGUCACAAAAAUUGGUGGUAAAUAUUUCAGGUCUCUUACAUUAUUGAGGAGUAUCGAUGUGGUCGUACUCCCAAUCCAGAUGUUCUUUGCAAUACAAGAAUUAAGUUCGGUGCAUUCAUGGAUGCCAUCAACAGUAUGGAGUUUGAUUUUGUUGCUUCUGGGCAUUAUGCCAAUGUCAUCCACCCAUCUGCAGAUCAAAUAAAUAAGCCUUCUGUCUUAGAACUCUCAAAGGACAUGGUCAGCAUCUUAGAUGCACAUUUGCUAAUAUUUUGUUUAUAUUCCUUUUUUUUUUUGUGUAGUCUUUCUGUAAUAUAUUUAAUUUAAGUGGCUACUUGUGUGUCUUUUAGGCACAUGCAUGCAUAAGUUUUAAGAACAAAACAUUCACAUUGUGAAAUGCCACUUUAAAGUGGAAACCCUGUCUUUGGAUGGAGUCUUUGCACAAUAAAUCUUAUCAUUCACUUAAAAACCAGGAUAAGAAAAGAUGUUAUCUUAUGUAGUUUUCCAUGGUGUGAUGCAUGGUUGCAGCAUUAGUUGUCAGUCAACAAUCCUGUUGUAGAAAGUUUUUGAAGACUAGCAUGAGAUGGAAGAUAGAAUAGCAGCCUUUUCUUUUCUUUCUUUUUUUGUUUUUGUACUUUCAAUAUAUAUGCCACUGUUAUCAGUAAUUGUUGGAGUUCUUAAAGUGUGUCAUAUCAGCAAGGUCAAAACUGGGCAAAGGAUUGAGAUAUUCUUUGAGAUUGACAAUGUUAUUUUCAUUGUAUAAAUUGUGAUUAAGUUUUCUUUCCUAUAUUUUCUUCCCAUUGUAUUCUUUUCUGAGAAUAAUAAAAUAUGAUGAAUCAGAUUGUCAAUAAGGAAGAUCAUGUAUGUUGUGUUUGUAUUCUAUUAUUUUGAAUCUUUGAUGUCUGUCACUUGAUUAUAAACUCUUAAGAAGGUUACUUGAAGCAUUUGUCUGUCACUUGCUGUUAAUAUCUUUAAUUUUGACUUUGCAGGUCAAGGAUCAAACUUAUUUUCUUUCACAUCUGUCUCAGACCCAGCUAAAACGACUUAUUUUCCCACUUGGUGGUAUGCUGAAGGAUGAAGUUCGCAAACUUGCCACACAAUUUGAUUUACCUAACAAAGACAGAAAGGAUUCGCAGGGAAUAUGCUUUCUUGGGAAGGUACUUCUGGGAAGCUGUUUCAACCACCAGGAAGCCUCUUUGAGAUAUUUAAUUUCUUGUUUUUACUCACUCAAUGUAUUUACUGCUUGGCAUUAUGCAUUUAUUUCCUUGAUUCUGUCUUGCAAACUUUAACUAUAGAGUCUGCUAAAAAAAAAAAAAACUCGAACUAUAGAGGAAAGCAAAACAAGAUGUUCUCCACCAAGUCAGACUUGCUUAUGGUUAAGUUUACUUUGCAAGCAACAUCACGAAUACCUUAAUUAUUUUGGAUGGUGGAAGAAAAUGUUCAAACUGAUUUUUUGGUGUAACUUCUGGAUAUUAAUCAUGGUCAUAUUGGAUAUUGUUCCCCUUUUUUUUUUCAUUUUUUUUAUUUGUUGAUUGGAGGGGCCAUUUGCAAAUCCUAACACCCUUCCAUGUAUCGAAAAAGUCAAAUCUGGUCUCUUAUGAGUCAUUUGUGAUUACGUUCACAUUGAAUUUUUCUUUUGUGUGUGUGUGUGUAGAUCAAAUUUAGUGAAUUUGUUGCAAGACAUAUUGGGGAGAUGGAAGGUAUCAUAUUGGAAGCUGAGACAGGAGAUUUCCUUGGCUCACAUCAAGGGUUUUGGUUCUACACAAUUGGUCAACGGCAAGGUCUACGUCUUCCUGGAGGUCCUUGGUAUCCUCUUGGACCAUAUCCUUUUCAUCACUUCUUUGACCAUCCACUUAUUGCCUUUCAGUCUUGGCUCUUCAUAAUGCUAAGUCUGAUCAUUCUGAAGGAGAGAUGUAAUUUACUGUCAGAAAACAUUGUUCUGUUGUCUGUUGGAAUGUUUAUAAGUUUAUGCCUUUUUAUUGGACUUGCUUGGCAUGUUCUAUUCAUAGAUUAUAUUUAUUUUGCUAUUGCAAAAUUAUUUUCAUAGGCUAUUAACAGCCAUUACCAUAACCAUUUCUCAAAUGUCCAAAUCUCCAUGGACUUGAUGCUGUAAAUUUGACCUAACUCUGUUAGUUUUUUUGUCAACAUUAGCUUAAAAUUGUGCAGUUCUUUUUAUAUUAUAGCAGAGCCUUUCAUCUACUACAUUGCUUAUCUUUUCCAUGUUGCUUCUCUUAUGCAGGUAUGUUGUUGAGAAGGAUGUUAAGAACAAUGUAGUGUUUGUGUCAAGAAAUUAUUUCUCAUUUGACAAAAGAAGGCGCUUAUUCCGUGUUGGCUCCUUGAGGUGGUUUAGUGGGUUGCCCCCUGAGAAGAUGCAUAAGCUCCAGUGUAAGGUAGAAAAUCCAUUUUCCCGUUUGCAUAAACAAUGUUAUGGAUAUUUCUUUUCAGCACGUCUUGGUCUUUGUAUUGAAUUGGUCAAAGCUCUAUUUCCUUUUGAUUGGUAUCCUUUAAUAACUUAUUGAACAUGGGUGGGGUUCUGGAAAAAAGUUUUAGUAUCAAAUAUGAACGUUUUAUGACUGGUAGUGGUAAUUUUAGUAACAACAGUUUACAUGCUAAAAAUCUUCCUAGAAUGAUUAUCAUGUGCUAAUAGUUUAGUACUAGUAGGCAUGGUGAUGUUUCCUUAUUUCCUGUUAUUUUAUAUUCUGAUGCUUCGGACCUUAGCCACUAAUUGCUUGAAGCUCACAUCUCUCAAACUUUCCAGGUGAGACAUGGCCCUGGGUUUUAUGAUUGCAGUGUGGAAAUAAAUCCGGGUGAAGUUGGCAGUGAAGAUGUUGCAGUUGUUCACUUGUUCGAAGAUGAUCAAGGUCUGGCAGCAGGGCAAUUUGCAGCCUUUUACCAGGGAAGAACCUGCAUAGGCUCUGGUGUGAUUUUGGAGUCUUGGGAUGAUCAAGGAUUUCCUGUAUGUGAAAAGGCUCUUGAAUUAGCAAGAAUGGAAGACAGAUCAAAGCUUGGGAAACCAGUUAAAAUAAAAGUUAAAUCAGAGAUUCACGAGGGUUCUGAUGGGAAGGAUGGUAUAGAACUAAAUAGACUAUCGGCUGAUUCCCAGGCUGCUGUUGUUAGUUGACAAAGCUGGAAAUAUCAAACAGAGAUACUUGCAGAUCCUAGUGAAUUGGGUACGAUGAGAUCAAAGAAAUGGUUCAGAUAUUAGUGUUUCAUGAAACCCCGGAGCACUAACAAAGACUUCGGAAAGAAUUGUCUGCAAGUGCGAGCUAGAUUUAGGUCUCUGUUCUUCCAAUGAAUCUCUUUUGGUGAGCUUGUUGCUUGCACAGCCUUCACGAGGUGGGGUCCCCUCAGGGUGAUCAGAAGCAUAUUACUGAUACUUCAUAAUUCAUAUUUUGUUACAAUAAUCAUUUGAAGAGUAUAAAUCUUUAUUUUGUGAUUUACCAAAAGAAGUGUACAAAUAUUAGACUUCAAGUUCAUGCUUUGUGAGAACUUACGUAUAUAAAUUCUAGAGACAGGGUUGUGCAUGUAAUUUGCUUGCAUUUGGUAGGAUUUUGCAUCAGUUUUGCUUGCAAUAACCAUGGUAAACAGCCACCAAAACCUGAUCGAUCAUAUGGGAUUUUGACUUGGCUUAGAUUAUUUUCGAUGAGGUGUGACUGCUGCUUUGCUGCCUUUAAUAAAAGGGUAACUUGUGUUUGGAUAGAG